AGUUGGAACUUACCUAAUAGAAGGUACCGAAUUAAUUCAUAAUGUACUCGAUUUGGCUCUGUCUGUUGGAUACAGGCUUAUAGAUACUGCUGCUUUUCAUGAAAAUGAAGAAGAUAUUGGAAAGGCUCUGAAAGUACUUCUUCCUAAACAUAACCUCACCAGAAAGGACAUUUUCAUCACAACCAAAUUAUGUAAGUUCUGAAAUAAAUAUAGGAUGUGAAUCUGAA
Long non-coding RNA from Leptinotarsa decemlineata (Colorado potato beetle), 227 nucleotides. The record is from RefSeq and is a predicted model, not a curated record. Lineage: Eukaryota; Metazoa; Arthropoda; Insecta; Coleoptera; Chrysomelidae.